GGGAUUGGUAGCUCAGUGGUUAAGGUGUUGGACUACUGAUUGGAAGGUUGUGAGUUCAAAUCCCAACACUGCCA
Pangasianodon gigas (Mekong giant catfish) is the source of this 74-nucleotide non-coding RNA. Lineage: Eukaryota; Metazoa; Chordata; Actinopteri; Siluriformes; Pangasiidae. The record is from the annotation of a GenBank genome assembly.